RNAcentral lists this ribosomal RNA (542 nucleotides) under uncultured bacterium. Its description in RNAcentral is "bacterial SSU rRNA". It matches the Rfam family "Bacterial small subunit ribosomal RNA", at positions 8 to 526 of the family's 1533-position model. The record is from RNAcentral.
AGAGUUUGAUCCUGGCUCAGGACCAACGCUGGCGGCGUGCGUAACACAUGCAAGUCGGACGGAGGGGUUGCCUUCGGGCAGUCUUUCAGUGGCGGACGGGUGCGGAACACGUGGAUGACCUACCCCGCGGUGGGGGAUACCCGGCAGAAAUGCCGGCUAAGACCGCAUAGGCUCGCUUGGGUCACGCCGGGUGAGCAAAGCCCUCUUGGGGGAAACGCCAGGGGGGUGCCGGGGGCGGGGUCCGCGGCCGAUUAGCUGGUUGGUGGGGUAAGAGCCCACCAAGGCGACGAUCGGUAGCUGGUCUGAGAGGAUGAUCAGCCACACUGGGAUUGAGAACGGCCCAGACUCCUACGGGGGGCAGCAGUGAGGAAUCUUCGGCAAUGGGCGCAAACCUGACCGAGCAACGCCGCGUGCGGGAGGACGCCUUUCGGGGUGUAAACCGCUUUUCUGGGGGACGAGCACCCGGCGGGGUCAUGCCCGUCGGCGGACGGUACCGCAGGAAGAAGCCUCGGCUAACUACGUGCCAGCAGCCGCGGUAAUAC